This 651-nucleotide ribosomal RNA is filed under the name Priestia megaterium. RNAcentral describes it as "bacterial SSU rRNA". It matches the Rfam family "Bacterial small subunit ribosomal RNA", at positions 56 to 688 of the family's 1533-position model. Lineage: Bacteria; Bacillati; Bacillota; Bacilli; Caryophanales; Bacillaceae. The record is from RNAcentral.
UGCAAGUCGAGCGAACUGAUUAGAAGCUUGCUUCUAUGACGUUAGCGGCGGACGGGUGAGUAACACGUGGGCAACCUGCCUGUAAGACUGGGAUAACUUCGGGAAACCGAAGCUAAUACCGGAUAGGAUCUUCUCCUUCAUGGGAGAUGAUUGAAAGAUGGUUUCGGCUAUCACUUACAGAUGGGCCCGCGGUGCAUUAGCUAGUUGGUGAGGUAACGGCUCACCAAGGCAACGAUGCAUAGCCGACCUGAGAGGGUGAUCGGCCACACUGGGACUGAGACACGGCCCAGACUCCUACGGGAGGCAGCAGUAGGGAAUCUUCCGCAAUGGACGAAAGUCUGACGGAGCAACGCCGCGUGAGUGAUGAAGGCUUUCGGGUCGUAAAACUCUGUUGUUAGGGAAGAACAAGUACGAGAGUAACUGCUCGUACCUUGACGGUACCUAACCAGAAAGCCACGGCUAACUACGUGCCAGCAGCCGCGGUAAUACGUAGGUGGCAAGCGUUAUCCGGAAUUAUUGGGCGUAAAGCGCGCGCAGGCGGUUUCUUAAGUCUGAUGUGAAAGCCCACGGCUCAACCGUGGAGGGUCAUUGGAAACUGGGGAACUUGAGUGCAGAAGAGAAAAGCGGAAUUCCACGUGUAGCGGUGAAAUG